AGUGAGGAGUUUUGCGCAAUGGGGGAAACCCUGACGCAGCAACGCCGCGUGAGUGAAGAAGGCCCUUGGGUCGUAAAGCUCUGUCAACUGGGAAGAAGUUGUUAUUGUUUAAUAAAUGAUAGCAUUGACGGUACCAGUGGAGGAAGCGCCGGCUAACUCCGUGCCAGCAGCCGCGGUAACACGGGGGGCGCAAGCGUUAUUCGGAAUUAUUGGGCGUAAAGGGCGCGUAGGCGGUUCUGUCGGUCAGAUGUGAAAGCCCGGGGCUCAACCCUGGAAGUGCAUUUGAAACAGCAGAACUUGAGUACGGGAGAGGAAAGCGGAAUUCCUGGUGUAGAGGUGAAAUUCGUAGAUAUCAGGAGGAACACCGAUGGCGAAGGCAGCUUUCUGGACCGAUACUGACGCUGAGGCGCGAAGGCGUGGGUAGCGAACAGGAUUAGAUACCCUGGUAGUCCACGCAGUAAACGAUGUUCACUAGGUGUAGCGGAUAUUAAAAUCUGCUGUGCCGCAGCUAACGCAUUAAGUGAACCGCCUGGGAAGUACGGUCGCAAGACUA
RNAcentral lists this ribosomal RNA (553 nucleotides) under uncultured bacterium. Its description in RNAcentral is "bacterial SSU rRNA". It matches the Rfam family "Bacterial small subunit ribosomal RNA", at positions 353 to 896 of the family's 1533-position model. The record is from RNAcentral.